Molecule: RNase P RNA, 338 nt
Filed under: pig gut metagenome
Description: Bacterial RNase P class B
Rfam family: Bacterial RNase P class B
About the family: Ribonuclease P (RNase P) is a ubiquitous endoribonuclease, found in archaea, bacteria and eukarya as well as chloroplasts and mitochondria. Its best characterised activity is the generation of mature 5'-ends of tRNAs by cleaving the 5'-leader elements of precursor-tRNAs. Cellular RNase Ps are ribonucleoproteins.
Source: RNAcentral
UCUGGGUAAAUGCUGCAUAUUUAUUAUGUAGAGGAAAGUCCAUGCUUGCACUAUCUGAGAUGAUAGUAGUGUUUGUGCUUAGGGAAAAAAUAACCUAAGGCAGUUUAACUGACGGCUUGUCUUUUAUCUAAAGGUAACUAUGAUAAAGGACAUAUAAAAGUGCCACAGAGACGAGUCUAUUUAGAAAUAAAUAGAAUGAAACGAGGUAAACCCCACAAGCAAGAAACCCAAAUUAUGGUAGGGGAAUCCGUAACUAAAGAAUUUGAAUUUAGUAGGAAUGACUUAUGUCAUAGAUAAAUAUUUACCGCCUAGUAAUAGGUACAGAACAUGGCUUAUAA